RNAcentral lists this ribosomal RNA (479 nucleotides) under uncultured bacterium. RNAcentral describes it as "bacterial SSU rRNA". It matches the Rfam family "Bacterial small subunit ribosomal RNA", at positions 8 to 475 of the family's 1533-position model. The record is from RNAcentral.
AGAGUUUGAUCAUGGCUCAGAACGAACGCUGGCGGCGUGCUUAACACAUGCAAGUCGAACGCGAACGAGUUCUUCGGAACUUUAGUAGAGUGGCGCACGGGUGAGUAACGCGUAAGUAAUCUACCCUGAUAUCUGGGAUAACAAUUCGAAAGGAUUGCUAAUACCGGAUACGUUGAUUUAUCAAGAAAGAUGGCCUCUUCAUGAAAGCUAUUGUAUCGGGAGGAGCUUGCGUACCAUUAGCUAGCUGGUGGGGUAAUGGCCUACCAAGGCAACGAUGGUUAGCGGGUCUGAGAGGAUGAUCCGCCACACUGGAACUGAAACACGGACCAGACUCCUACGGGAGACAGCAGUGAGGAAUAUUGCGCAAUGGGGGCAACCCUGACGCAGCGACGCCGCGUGGAUGAUGAAGGCUUUCGGGUCGUAAAAUCCUGUCAGAUGGGAAGAAAUGAUUCAUGGUUAACACCUAUGUUUUUUGACGG